Molecule: unclassified non-coding RNA, 262 nt
Filed under: uncultured fungus
Lineage: Eukaryota; Fungi
Description: partial contains 5.8S ribosomal RNA, internal transcribed spacer 2, and large subunit ribosomal RNA
Source: RNAcentral
AACGCACAUUGCGCCCGCCAGGACUCUGGCGGGCAUGCCUGUCCGAGCGUCGUUCCAACCCUCGAGCCCCCCCCGGGGGCCCGGUGUUGGGGGGCGCGGCCCGCCGCGGCCGCCCCCCCGAAACGCAGUGGCGACCCCGCCGCGCCCUCCCCUGCGCAGUACCACAGCGCCUCGCAGGCGGAGCGCGGAGGCGGUCCCGCCGUAAAACGCCCCCAGACGCAGAGUCGACCUCGGAUCAGGUAGGGCUACCCGCUGAACUUAA